Molecule: long non-coding RNA, 659 nt
Organism: Ictalurus punctatus (channel catfish)
Lineage: Eukaryota; Metazoa; Chordata; Actinopteri; Siluriformes; Ictaluridae
Source: Ensembl
GUAUGGUAUGUUGUUAUAAGGGGCAUAUGUAGCCCUAUGAACAUUAUACGGAAUAAUGCGUUAGCUUUAAUGUUUUAGGGGUUGUGAAAAUACUGAUUUGGCUUUGGAUACCUUUUGAAAUGGGGUUGGUGGAUGGAUAGAUAGCUGGAUAGAUGGAUAGAUAGAUGGAUGGAUAGAUGGAUAGGUAGGUAGAUGGAUGGAUAGAUAGAUAGGUAGGUAGGUAGGUAGGUAGGUAGGUAGAUGGAUGGCUGGAUAGAUAGAUGGAUAGAUAGAUGGAUGGAUGGAAGGAUAGAUGGAUGGAUAGAUAGAUGGAUGGAUAGAUAGGUAGAUGGAUGGUUGGAUAGAUAGCUGGAUAUAUGGAUGGAUGGAUGGAUGGAUGGAUAGAUAGAUAUCUAGGUAGAUGGAUGGCUGGAUAGAUAGAUGGAUAGAUGGAUGAUAGAUAGAUAGAUAGAUAGAUGGAUGACUGGAUAGAUAGCUGGAUAGAUGGAUAGAUAGAUGGAUGGAUAGAUAGAUAGAUAGAUAGAUAGAUAGAUAGAUAGAUAGAUAGAUAGAUAGAUAGAUGGAUGACUGGAUAGAUAGCUGGAUAGAUGGAUAGAUGGAUGGAUGGAUAGAUAGAUAGAUAGAUAGAUAGAUAGGUAGGUAGAUGGAUGGCUGGAUAG